This 508-nucleotide ribosomal RNA is filed under the name uncultured bacterium. Its description in RNAcentral is "partial 16S ribosomal RNA". It matches the Rfam family "Bacterial small subunit ribosomal RNA", at positions 28 to 507 of the family's 1533-position model. The record is from RNAcentral.
GACGAACGCUGGCGGCGUGCCUAAUACAUGCAAGUCGAACGCUUCUUUCCUCCCGAGUGCUUGCACUCAAUUGGAAAGAGGAGUGGCGGACGGGUGAGUAACACGUGGGUAACCUACCCAUCAGAGGGGGAUAACACUUGGAAACAGGUGCUAAUACCGCAUAACAGUUUAUGCCGCAUGGCAUAAGAGUGAAAGGCGCUUUCGGGUGUCGUUGAUGGAUGGACCCGCGGUGCAUUAGCUAGUUGGUGAGGUAACGGCUCACCAAGGCCACGAUGCAUAGCCGACCUGAGAGGGUGAUCGGCCACACUGGGACUGAGACACGGCCCAGACUCCUACGGGAGGCAGCAGUAGGGAAUCUUCGGCAGUGGACGAAAGUCUGACCGAGCAACGCCGCGUGAGUGAAGAAGGUUUUCGGAUCGUAAAACUCUGUUGUUAGAGAAGAACAAGGACGUUAGUAACUGAACGUCCCCUGACGGUAUCUAACCAGAAAGCCACGGCUAACUACGUG